This is a long non-coding RNA of Drosophila willistoni, 138 nucleotides long. RefSeq lists it as uncharacterized. The transcript has 2 exons. The record is from RefSeq and is a predicted model, not a curated record. NCBI's taxonomy places the organism in Eukaryota, Metazoa, Arthropoda, Insecta, Diptera, Drosophilidae.
CUUAACUUUAAUCAUUUUAUAUCAAAAUUAAGUAAAAUUUUAACACGAAAUAGGAAUAGAACUCUUCAUCAAAAUUAAUAUGUCGGAGAUUAUAAAGGUGGUUUAUACUCCUGCUUCACGAGGACGUGUAAUUUGUCA